This 118-nucleotide ribosomal RNA is filed under the name Pteropus alecto (black flying fox). Lineage: Eukaryota; Metazoa; Chordata; Mammalia; Chiroptera; Pteropodidae. The record is from RNAcentral. RNAcentral also lists the same sequence under 1 other name.
GUCUAUGGCCAUGCUACCCUGAACAAGCUUGAUCCCAUCUGAUCUCGGAAGCUAAGCAAGGUUGGGCAUGGUUAGUACUUGGAUGGGAGACCACCUAGAAGACCAGGUGCUGUAGGCA